AGUGAACGCUGGCGGUAGGCCUAACACAUGCAAGUCGAACGGCAGCACAGUAAGAGCUUGCUCUUACGGGUGGCGAGUGGCGGACGGGUGAGGAAUACAUCGGAAUCUACUUUUUCGUGGGGGAUAACGUAGGGAAACUUACGCUAAUACCGCAUACGACCUACGGGUGAAAGCAGGGGAUCUUCGGACCUUGCGCGAUUGAAUGAGCCGAUGUCGGAUUAGCUAGUUGGCGGGGUAAAGGCCCACCAAGGCGACGAUCCGUAGCUGGUCUGAGAGGAUGAUCAGCCACACUGGGACUGAGACACGGUCCAGACUCCUACGGGAGGCAGCAGUGGGGAAUAUUGGACAAUGGGCGGAAGCCUGAUCCAGACAUACCGCGUGGGUGAAGAAGGCCUUCGGGUUGUAAAGACCUUUUGUUGGGAAAGAAAAGCAGCAGGUUAAUACCCCGCUGUUCUGACGGUAACCAAAGAAUAAGCACCGGCUAACUUCGUG
This 492-nucleotide ribosomal RNA is filed under the name uncultured bacterium. RNAcentral describes it as "partial 16S ribosomal RNA". It matches the Rfam family "Bacterial small subunit ribosomal RNA", at positions 29 to 507 of the family's 1533-position model. The record is from RNAcentral.